This 343-nucleotide long non-coding RNA is filed under the name Gossypium raimondii (Peruvian cotton). Its description in RNAcentral is "long non-coding RNA (GRAI_LNC007357)". The record is from RNAcentral. Lineage: Eukaryota; Viridiplantae; Streptophyta; Magnoliopsida; Malvales; Malvaceae.
UAAACAUUGGCGAUUCCACACACGAUGACUCUGUUAGGCAAGAACUCCAGUCACUUAAUCAUCUCCUAACACAAGACAACCCCUUUAGUAACGAUUACCAGAACCUAAAUUUCAAUCAUGUUAACUAAACUUAGCAGUACACACACCAAGAACACCAACAACAAUUGAGCCACGCCAAACCGAAAAGUGCCAAAAAUAAAAGAGAGGAAAAGAGAAAGGAAAAUCAGCAAAAAAAAAUCGGCAGGGGAUUGAAAGAUUUGAAAUGUCUAAAGUUUUGGAAAAGAUCUAAAAAAGAAUUGAAAAGAAAAUAAAAAUCCCAAUUGAUAACCCCCCAAAUAAAUAC